Long non-coding RNA from Oryzias melastigma (Indian medaka), 1732 nucleotides. RefSeq lists it as uncharacterized. The record is from RefSeq and is a predicted model, not a curated record. NCBI's taxonomy places the organism in Eukaryota, Metazoa, Chordata, Actinopteri, Beloniformes, Adrianichthyidae. The transcript has 4 exons.
CAAGUUCCAUCAGGUUGGUACCGUUUUUUAUUUGAUUUAUGUCUGUGUUUUUAUUUAGUUACUGUUUUAUUUCAUCUCAGCAGGUCUGAUGAACAAAAUCAGAAUAAAGUUCCAGAUGAAAAUGAUGCUGAACACAACACAUAUGAAUCUCUGCUCCAUGGUGAUGUUGCUCUUUAUGAGUCACUCGGAUGCCUUGAAGACACAGAGAAUAAUCCAAUCUAUGCCAGCAUAGAUGAAUCCUGCAUCACAUCAACUGAGGUUUAAGAAAUCAGGAAGUAAAUGCUGAAGAAGAAUGAAAAAAAACUGGAUUUCCCUGUUUUUUCUCUGAAACUCCAAGAGCGCCACCUGGAUUUACACUCCUUUGAACCCUGAAAAACGGACUCCUCCUACUUCUGACUCCUUCUCCAGCUGCUGAACAAGACAAACAAACUGAACAAAACAUGUUCACAUUUGAUUUUAUUUCUAAAUUGUAUUUGAGUCCACAGAAGUGGAUUUUGGUUUUUGGUCCCCACUCUGAAAUUGGUCCCCAUGCCAUGACUAUAUAACCCAACCAUUGUCCCCACAUUGUCUUAAAUAUGAACAUACACACAGCUGUUUGUAAUUUUAGUCUUUUGUCAUUUUAUUUUAUAAUAUUUAUCCAAACUGCAGCCAUGUUGCUUUAAUAGAUAAUAUAGUUAAGUUUAGAAUGAUGGUAGAUUAUUGGUCAACUUGUGAUUUCAGGUUCAGAUCCUUCUCUGCAUUUAACAGUGUGCUUAGGAAAGAAACUACAGGUUUCAUUGGUCCUGGAGGUCUGGUCCGCUGCUUGCAAGUGUGAGAUAUAAUCCACAUUAUUAGUUAUAAUGCUUGCAUGUUACUCACUUAAUUUACUCACUUCAUUUAAUCCAGCCUAAUAUUUUUUUUUAAAGUACACAGAACAUACAAUAUUUUCAGGUUUUUUGCUCAGUUUUAUUUUUUUUUUAACCAGACCUCCUGGCCCACUGAAAGACAGAAGACUGAACAUGUAUCAUAUCAUCAUGGAUACAUUUUUAUGCUUGAGGAAAAAGCAGCACACCUGUUGUUAUACUGUGUGAUACUGUUUGUCAUUCAUGAUUAAUAAACUGCUUAUUUUGAGCUUCCUUUAAUUGAACUUUUUCCUUAGGACAAUGAGGUACUCGUCUUAACAAUUUGAGGACUUGUUCAUUAGUUUUUAUUUUUUUAUUUUUUACGUCUGACUUCACGGCAGUUCUAAAUGUUGGCGCCACUGCAAAUUAUAAGCAGAAACCUAUUUAGCAUUCUGCAAUCAGACAUAUAGACGUGAAGCCUGUAUAGAGAAUUUUAACUGAGUAAAUAUGAUAUAUAGUGUAGUUUACUUUUUUUGGCUAGAAAAAUCUAGGAUGGACAAAUAGGAAAAAAGGUUAGUAAACGUUAAAAAAAUAAAGGAAAAAAUACACAUUUAGAGCCCAAUCCAUUUCUACACAGUGUCGGAAGCAGUAUUGGUUUUUUGAGUCUGGUUUGAGUGUGUCGGAAGCGAUGACCCCCAAAUGCAUAAAAAUAUAAAGAAAAAAAGAAGAAAGGAACUUCUCAUGUUAAUAGUGUGAUUGAAAGUCUUUUCUCCCCUCAUUAAAGAACAAACAGCAUAAAUGUCUCAGCUUCUCUGUGCAAGGGUAAUACUGGCCUUUCCUCCUUUGCUCAGCGCAAACAAAAUUUAGUAAAAUUGUAAAAGGUUGUGACAGCCCUAUAUUAAAAAAAAAAA